CCUCACAGGGAUUGGUAGCGGCAAAACGGCGAGUGACAGCUCUCUGGAAAUUUGAAACCCUUUCGGGGUCCUUUGAGUUGUAAGUGUUUUAGAGGGCGGGGGUCUAACGCGGCGCCGUCCAACCUUGGAGGGCGUCACAGAGGGUGAGAAUCCCGUAUGUGACCGGUGACCAACCCCAUGUGAAACCCCUUCGACGAGUCGAGUUGUUUGGGAAUGCAGCUCUGGUAAAAUGGGAAAUUGCUAUCAUCUAAAAAUACCGAUCCGGCCAGAGAAGCGCACAAGGAUAGAGUGAUCAAGCACUUAUGAAAAGUAGUCAAAGGAAAGAGCAUGAAAUUGGUACGUUGAAAGGGAAGCGACCAGCUUGCAACCGGGCGCUGUCCGUCGUUCUCUCAGCCUCGGGGCUCGUCCGCGCAGCGAUCAGGUUCGGGCCAGCAUCGGCGGGGGAAUGUAGCUCCGGGACAAAGGCCUUCCCUCGGUUAGGGGAGUAGCCCUCGGCGCCUGCAAUGCAGCAGGACCGGACCGCCAUAGGACGCUUCGGCUGCUGUUGUGCGUAAUGGAAGCGACCCGUCUUGAAACACGGACCAAGGAGUCUAACAUCUAUGCGAGUGUUUGGGUGUCAAACCCAUGCGCGCAACGGAGGUGAGAACCCCCCGCGGGGCGCAUCAAAUGAAAGUGUCGACCGAUCCAGAUGUCUUCGGAUGGAUUUGAGUACGGGACCCGAAAGAUGGGAGCAUAGCUGUUUGAACUUAGGAUGCCUGAAGUGAAGCCAGAGGAAACUCUGGUGGAGGCUCGCAGCGGUUCAUCGAUCGUGACGUGCAAUCAAAUUUGGGUAUAGGGGCGAAAGACUAAUCGAACCAUCUAGUAGCUGCCGAUGGUUCCAGUUUCCCUCAGGA
This 893-nucleotide ribosomal RNA is filed under the name Lecanora campestris. RNAcentral's name for it is "partial large subunit ribosomal RNA". It matches the Rfam family "Eukaryotic large subunit ribosomal RNA", at positions 64 to 978 of the family's 3401-position model. Lineage: Eukaryota; Fungi; Ascomycota; Lecanoromycetes; Lecanorales; Lecanoraceae. The record is from RNAcentral.